AGAGUUUGAUCAUGGCUCAGAACGAGCGCUGGCGGCAGGCUUAACACAUGCAAGUCGAACGGUUGUAGCAAUACAGCAGUGGCAGACGGGUGAGUAACACGUGGGAACCUUCCUAGGGGUACGGAACAACUCAGGGAAACUUGAGCUAAUACCGUAUACGUCCGUGAGGAGAAAGUUUUAACGCCCCUAGACGGGCCCGCGUAGGAUUAGGUAGUUGGUGAGGUAACGGCUCACCAAGCCUACGAUCCUUAGCUGAUCUGAGAGGAUGAUCAGCCACACUGGGACUGAGACACGGCCCAGACUCCUACGGGAGGCAGCAGUGGGGAAUCUUGGACAAUGGGCGCAAGCCUGAUCCAGCCAUGCCGCGUGAGUGAAGAAGGCCUUCGGGUUGUAAAGCUCUUUUACCAGGGACGAUAAUGACGGUACCUGGAGAAUAGUC
This 439-nucleotide ribosomal RNA is filed under the name uncultured Fulvimarina sp. Its description in RNAcentral is "bacterial SSU rRNA". It matches the Rfam family "Bacterial small subunit ribosomal RNA", at positions 8 to 491 of the family's 1533-position model. The record is from RNAcentral. Lineage: Bacteria; Pseudomonadati; Pseudomonadota; Alphaproteobacteria; Hyphomicrobiales; Aurantimonadaceae.